GCUUCUCCUUGUGUGUGACGCUGCACCUGCUGCCCUAGCAGGACCGGCGCUCGGCACAGACGGACGCCAACUUGACCCGAAACCCAGGGAUGCUCUGUCACCUCCUGCAGCCGACAGAUGUUCCCGACAGCCAGACAUGCACAAACCAGGAUGCUGCAGGUCCAGGUGAAACGUGCUCCAUAUUAUGAGACUCCAAAAAACAAAACCGUUUUUCAAUCAGCCCCGAGCAGACACCAUCCACGUGCCCCAAUUAUGAGAAACCGUGGACCCCUUCUGAAAUGAAAGUUAACUUCUCUCUUUCGUGGGCAUUCCUGUGAGACACUUUAAUCCUCCCAGCCAGCAACGCCAGUGGGUAAACGGGGAAAGUGAUGGGUAAGGAAGUAUCCCUCAGCACUGUGUGGGACUAGAUCCUGGGAGGCGACCUGGUUCUAUUACUUCUCCUUUUUCUCUUUUCCCUGUUCUUCUUCUUCACGGGCAGCUUUCUGGGGAGCCGGGGGGAGAGGGUUGGGGCAGGAGGUGACCGGGGUGAAAGCAGCCCAGGACACAUCAUAAGAAAUCGAAGAGAGACAAGCUGUGAACUUCUGCAAACAGGGACACUGGCUGCCUCAACUAUGUUGGAUUCGACCUUCCUCCCGGCUUUAAGGUUUUCUCUGUGUCUCACUGCAGGGUGUGGGUGAGGAUGAUACACAGCGUGUUUAAUAAAACGAGACAAGGAACCAAGAAGCGUUUAGCAUUAGGAAGAAUGAACAUCUCCUACAAAUACUUUACAGCUACUUCAAACAGGAAAUCGCCUUCACAAAACAACAUUCCGAUGGCUCAGGCACAAGUGACUCAGGGACACAUGGACUGAAUGUCCUUCACAAUGCACGUGGCUUUAAAAGUCCGGGGGAGCUUGGUUGGCAGAGCGCAGCCCCCAAAAGAGAAAAGAAGUCUGUCAAACUGCCCUCCAUGCGGCCCCCCUUCCUGGUGCUUUCUCUGGCGACUGAGUCGAUCGGCUACAGAGGCUCUUACCUAAGACACUUGGAACAAUCUUCUUGAAAAUGGUUGAACUCUCCUUCCCUAUUUAGGCAAAGUAUUCAAUAAGUUUGUCAUAGCUGGCUCUGCCCUCACCCCCAGUACCACAGGCAUCAAACACAGAGGACAACUUCUGUAAAAAAGUUUGAGCGCCUCAGGCCCUCGACUCCCGCAGUCUCUGUGACAACUGAGUACAGCUGCCACGGAAGGGCGUCUUCAUUUCCUCUUAAUCCUUUUGGAACCGACUUUAAGAGUAUACUACCAUUUUUGCAACUUAAAGAUGCAAAUUUUAGACAAAGCCCACAAUAAUCUGGCUCUGUUUGACCUACCCAGCUUUUCUGUGUUUUCGUCACACAAAACGCACACAGAAAUACUCCACCACUUCCAUCACUGGGAAAUACUGCAGCACUUCUCUCUCGUGCCCCCACUGUGCCCCAAACGCCGGCUCCUUUCAGCAGUCAGCUCGUUUCAGCAGUCGGCUUUCCGCAGGCCCCGCGGGUGACUCCGCUGCACCCCAAGGAGAAUGUCUCCCGGUGCUCAGGGCGGGGCCCCACGCUGAUCGAGGGUUGCUGAUGUGGUGAGUCUGCAAUGGGGUCUGAGAACUGGCUUUUCUGACGAGUGCCCGGCUGACACGCGGAAGCUGACCUGGGAAUCACGCUGAGAACGUCAGGUAGAAGGUGGACCGCCUCUUCACGCCGUGCCCCUAAAUCCCGGACAGUGAAUUCCAUGAAAAUCUGUCUGUUUUCCCAUGAUCCAGUAACACACGGUAUCUGGCUCAGAGAAGGGUGGCUCAAGUAUUUGCUGAGUUAACAGAAACUCAGAAAAAGAUCUGGGCUGCCGAAAUACAACUAGCAACUAAAGCCUUGGAAGAAAAAGAGAGGACCUAGAAUUGAGUCAUUAGGAAAACAACCAUUGAAAGACGCGGGGAGACGGAGACUACGGCAGGCUUACACGGAAGGACCCGGCAGAGACAGGAGGCUGAAGACGGAAGGGAGAAUGCAAUGAUCCAACCCACAGGGUCUUUCUGAGAUGUUACGGCGGACAAAGGGUUAGCUUUCGGGAGGAGGACUUCUUGCCCAGCUGUCAGAAGGGAUGAGUUUAGGAAGGGGGUGGACACAGGUAAGUUCAGUCUUUGUGAUGGAAGGUUGAGGGCAUCAGCUACAGCUGGAUUCCCUUUUCUUGGGAGAGUCCAGGACCGGUGAAGUGUUGACCUGCAUUUAUAAUGAG
Long non-coding RNA from Artibeus jamaicensis (Jamaican fruit-eating bat), 2241 nucleotides. RefSeq lists it as uncharacterized. The record is from RefSeq and is a predicted model, not a curated record. The transcript has 3 exons. Lineage: Eukaryota; Metazoa; Chordata; Mammalia; Chiroptera; Phyllostomidae.